UACAGAGGGUGCGAGCGUUAAUCGGAAUUACUGGGCGUAAAGCGUGCGUAGACGGUUAUUUAAGUCGGAUGUGAAAUCCCCAGGCUCAACCUGGGAACUGCAUCCGAUACUGGAUGGCUUGAAUUCGGGAGAGGGAUGCAGAAUUCCAGGUGUAGCGGUGAAAUGCGUAGAUAUCUGGAGGAAUACCGGUGGCGAAGGCGGCAUCCUGGACCGACAUUGACGCUGAGGAGCGAAAGCUAGGGGAGCAAACGGG
RNAcentral lists this ribosomal RNA (253 nucleotides) under uncultured bacterium. Its description in RNAcentral is "partial 16S ribosomal RNA". It matches the Rfam family "Bacterial small subunit ribosomal RNA", at positions 524 to 776 of the family's 1533-position model. The record is from RNAcentral.